UAGGGAAUAUUGCGCAAUGGGCGAAAGCCUGACGCAGCCAUGCCGCGUGGAUGAUGAAGGCCUUCGGGUCGUAAAGUCCUUUUCUGAGGGAAGAACAAGUGGGGUAGGAAAUGACCCCGCCCUGACGGUACCUCAGGAAUAAGCAACGGCAAACUCCGUGCCAGCAGCCGCGGUAAUACGGAGGUUGCAAGCGUUGUUCGGAAUAACUGGGCGUAAAGGGAGCGCAGGCGGUUUGAUCAGUCUGAAGUGGAAGCCCGGGGCUCAACCCUGGAAGGCCUUUGGAUACUGUCAAACUUGAGUUCGUGAGAGGAGAGUGGAAUUCCAGGUGUAGCGGUGAAAUGCGUAGAUAUCGGAAGGAACACCAGUGGCGAAGGCGACUUCCUGGGCCAAUACUGACGCUGAGGUGCGAAAGCGUGGGUAGCAAACAGGAUUAGAUACCCUGGUAGUCCACGCGGUAAACGAUGAGAACUAGAUGUUGGGGGGGUUGCCCCUCGGUGUCGAAGCUAACGCGUUAAGUUCUCCGCCUGGGGAAGUACGCCGGCAACGGUAA
RNAcentral lists this ribosomal RNA (550 nucleotides) under uncultured bacterium. RNAcentral's name for it is "bacterial SSU rRNA". It matches the Rfam family "Bacterial small subunit ribosomal RNA", at positions 355 to 897 of the family's 1533-position model. The record is from RNAcentral.